GGUCUAUUUUGUUGGUUUGCACGCCGAAGUAAUGAUUAACAGGGACGGUUGGGGUUCUUUGUAUUCAAUUGUCAGAGGUGAAAUUCUUGGAUUUAUGGAAGACAAACUGCUGCGAAAGCGUCGAACAAGGACGUUCUCAUUAAUCAAGAACGAAAGUUAGGGGAUCGAAGAUGAUUAGAUACCAUCGUAGUCUUAACCAUAAACUAUGCCGAUUCAGGAUUGGCGGUCGUUUGUUCUCGACUCCGUCAGCACUGUAUGAGAAAUCAAAAUCUUUGGGUUCCGGGGGGAGUAUGG
This 294-nucleotide ribosomal RNA is filed under the name Pelagophyceae sp. RCC5288. Its description in RNAcentral is "partial small subunit ribosomal RNA". It matches the Rfam family "Eukaryotic small subunit ribosomal RNA", at positions 833 to 1128 of the family's 1831-position model. Lineage: Eukaryota; Pelagophyceae. The record is from RNAcentral.